This 1202-nucleotide long non-coding RNA is filed under the name Papio anubis (olive baboon). Its description in RNAcentral is "lncRNA (ENSPANG00000049967.1)". Lineage: Eukaryota; Metazoa; Chordata; Mammalia; Primates; Cercopithecidae. The record is from RNAcentral.
CCUCUCCGCCCGCGUCUCCUCGGCGCGCACUGGUUCUGCGCGGCCGGGGCUUGGCCUGCGCGACUGUCUCCUCAGUCCUGGCGGACUCCGAGCUGGCCGAACCACAAGCUUGUCAGAGGACGGUGGUGGGAACGCUCCCGGCCUCCCCAGGAGCGCGAGCUGGAGGCUGGCGCCAGGCGCGGAGGACUCCCGGUAUCUUUUCACAGGCGGGCGCCUCGGCUCUGGGCACCCGCAGUAGAAACGGGUCUCACCAUGUUGGCCAGGCUGGCCUCAAACUCCUGAACUCAGAUGAUCCACCCGCCUCAGCCUCCCAAAGUGCUGGGAUUACAGGCAUGAGCUACCGUGCCGGCUUAGUAGUAAAUCUUAAUAUAGCAACACCUCACUUGCCUGGAAGAGGGAACCUCAAUCAAUCAAAAUGAGGGCCUACAGGAAUGCCUGACAUGAUGCAAACACUUAAAAGUUAUCUGUUGAAUGAGACGUCUACAAAUGCUAGGCCCUGGGGAUACAAUAAUCUGGAAAACCAGACUUGCAGGAUGCAGACGUUGAUCAUAUAAACAGAUACGCACAGAAUUAAGUGUAAAAUUGCCACCUGGUAAGACCUGUGCGAGGAAGGUACUGGAGUCUCUACCCGGUGACCUGGCCUAGUUUGAGAAGCCAAGAAAGUUUCCCCUAGAAAGUGACAUUUCAGCUGACAUUGGAAAGAUGAAUGGGAAUUAACUAAGUAAGGGAGAUAGUAUUGGGAGAACCAAAAAGUAAUGUGGAGCUUGGGGGGUGGGGGAAGGAAAUGAGAUGGAGCUAACCAGAUAAAUCUAGGGACCAUCAGGAGUUGGCCUUUUGUUCUAAGAGCAGAGGCUUUCAGGCAGAGGAGUUCUGUGAUCAUAUAUAUGUAGCAAACUUUAUUUUCUAAUAUCUCUGCACAGGUCAGGUUAGAAGUGUCAACUCACUGGGAAUGGUUUAUAAAUAGAGAAACAAAAGGAGUUACAAGAUGAGUCAAAACAGUGACAGCUCAGUUUAUUAAGUGGAGGGACAAACUGCCUCUCUAUAUCUCAGUAUUGUCUAUAAUGAUUCUGUUAUUAGUAUUAUCAGUAAUAAAUUGUGCUUAGUGUACUUUAAGAAAGCUAGAAUCUGAGCAAAGUACUGAGGAUGCAAUAAUAGAAGCCCCCUUCGCCUCUUCGGGCUCUCACUGUAGUGAGAAAAUAGAC